CGCUAGCUACAGGCUUAACACAUGCAAGUCGAGGGGUAGCAGGGUAGCAAUACCGCUGACGACCGGCGCACGGGUGAGUAACACGUAUCCAACCUUCCCAUUACUCGGGGAUAGCCUUUCGAAAGAAAGAUUAAUACCCGAUAGUACUUUUUCGAGGCAUCUCGUAAAAAGUUAAAGAUUUAUUGGUAAUGGAUGGGGAUGCGUUCCAUUAGAUUGUUGGUGAGGUAACGGCUCACCAAGUCUUCGAUGGAUAGGGGUUCUGAGAGGAAGGUCCCCCACAUUGGUACUGAGGCACGGACCAAACUCCUACGGGAGGCAGCAGUGAGGAAUAUUGGUCAAUGGGCGAGAGCCUGAACCAGCCAAGUAGCGUGAAGGAUGACGG
Molecule: ribosomal RNA, 382 nt
Filed under: uncultured Bacteroidales bacterium
Lineage: Bacteria; Pseudomonadati; Bacteroidota; Bacteroidia; Bacteroidales
Description: bacterial SSU rRNA
Rfam family: Bacterial small subunit ribosomal RNA
Source: RNAcentral